GGAGGAUCCGAGCGUUAUCCGGAUNNAUGGGGUNUAAAGGGAGCGUAGAUGGAUGUUUAAGNCAGUNGUGAAAGNNUGCGGCUCAACCGUAAAAUNGCAGUNGAUACUGGAUAUCUUGAGUGCAGUUGAGGCAGGCGGAAUUCGUGGUGUAGCGGUGAAAUGCUUAGAUAUCACGAAGAACUCCGAUUGCGAAGGCAGCCUGCUAAGCUGUAACUGACAUUGAGGCUCGAAAGUGUGGGUAUCAAACAGGAUUAGAUACCCUGGUAGUCCACACGGUAAACGAU
This 284-nucleotide ribosomal RNA is filed under the name uncultured bacterium. Its description in RNAcentral is "partial 16S ribosomal RNA". It matches the Rfam family "Bacterial small subunit ribosomal RNA", at positions 527 to 810 of the family's 1533-position model. The record is from RNAcentral.